AGCAUGAGGUAGUUGAUCUGUGGAUGUGGUGUCAAAAAAUAGGAGGUGAUAAAUUACAGCAUCCAGCUGAGAAGAAGUGUCGGAAUGGCUGCGAAGCUAUGGCGUUUUAAUGGAGAUGGAUGCUGCUACGUAUCCC
Molecule: non-coding RNA, 136 nt
Organism: Caenorhabditis elegans
Lineage: Eukaryota; Metazoa; Nematoda; Chromadorea; Rhabditida; Rhabditidae
Source: Ensembl